AAGCAUCCAGGCCAUUUUUCUGA
RNAcentral lists this non-coding RNA (23 nucleotides) under Cricetulus griseus (Chinese hamster). The record is from RNAcentral. Lineage: Eukaryota; Metazoa; Chordata; Mammalia; Rodentia; Cricetidae.